This 4824-nucleotide long non-coding RNA is filed under the name Salmo salar (Atlantic salmon). RNAcentral describes it as "lncRNA (ENSSSAG00000086958.1, ENSSSAG00000109981.1)". Lineage: Eukaryota; Metazoa; Chordata; Actinopteri; Salmoniformes; Salmonidae. The record is from RNAcentral.
AAAUCGUCGCCCAAACGACCACAACAUGAAGAAAAGUCCUGCGAAUUCGGGUUGUUGGUGAAUUUGUUAUUUCACGAGUGUGGAAAGCACUCUUGUCCGCCCGCCCAUCAAUUCCAAGUAGAUAUAUUUCAAAAAGAUCUUGAAGGCUAUUUGUAGCUAAUGUGAUAUUUUUGCAUGUCUGUCUGUGAAUUUUCAGCACUUAGUUUGACUCCUUGGGAUUUUAAUUAUAUUAAUUUGAACCUCUUUUAUAUACAUUUCUGAAUACGUUUUAGUUUAAUAAUCUAUAGGCUAGUGUUUUUCCAUACAUGUCUGCAUGUGCACCAUAUGCCUGGAUUUCCCUGUGUUUUCAUUACUUGCAUGACUUGUUAUUAGAGCAUAUACUUUAACACAGGGAGCAGUACAGGUCAGUCUCCUCUAUUCCCUUUCUCUCCUUUUUAUUGAGACUCUCCUUUUAUUUAUUUUAUCUUUCUGUCUCUUUUUUAAUGUUUCUUCUCUCCCCUCUGACCAGUGUGUGUAUGCAGACGGAGUGUUCUCCAUCUAGAGGAGAGCCCCCUGGACUUCUCUAGCCAUUAAGGCCUCUGUCUGUUUCAUUAUGCAUCACCCCUUUGUCCUUCUCCUUCCUGCUCUCUGUAGCUGUGAUGUGCUGGCCCUCUCUAGGCUGUGCUCUAUUAAUACACGUAGUGGUGUGUGUGUGUGUGUGUGUGUGUGUGUGUGUGUGUGUGUGUGUGUGUGUGUGUGUGUGUGUGUGUGUGUGUGUGUGUGUGUGUGUGUGUGUGUGUGUGUGUGCGUGCGUGCGUGCGUGCGUGCGUGCGUGCGUGCGUGCGUGCGUGCGUGCGUGCGUGCGUGUCUGUGUGUGCGUGUGUGUGUGUCACAGCAUACCUCUGCUCACUGUCUCCUCUCAGACCCCAUCUGUGCUUCCCACUCGUUCCCAACGUUCAGGACCACAGGACGGGCUCCUGGGAUCAAGUGGAUCAGAUCAUCGGAAAAUAACACAUGCUGAUGCCACAGUGUGUUUUAGUGUGUUUCAUUCAUUUCAGUUUUGUCAGUGAUGUGUACUCCGAGGAACUUAAAGCUUUCCACCUCGUACACUGCGGCCCCGAAGCUGGUUGAGAGAAUGCCAAGAGUGUGCAAAGCUGUCAUCAAGGCAAAGGGUGGCUACUUUGAAGAAUCUUUAGCACUUUUUGGUUACUACAUCAUUCAAUGUGUGUUAUUUCAUAGUUUUGAUGUCUUCACUAUUAUUCUACAAUGUAGAAAAUAGUAAACAUAAAUAAAAACCCUUGAAUGAGUAGGUGUGUCCAAACUUUUGACUGGUACUGUAUGUGAUGUAUAGACAUCAUGGACAGUAUCUGGAUAGAAUAUAUAUUAUAUAUCUGUAGAAUAUGUGGAUAGAUUAGUAUUUGCAAGGAAUGAAAGGAAGAUUUUCAAUUGUUGUUUUUAAUUAUUACAAUCUUCAAACAGAGUAAAAUCAUCAUUUUUGGAGAGAAUAUUCUGCCUUCUUUCAUGUUCUAAGAUUUAAACUGUUUUAAUAAGUUUAACUCCAGCAACCAAAAGCAGGAAACCCAUAAAAAUAAACAUUUAUGUAAUUUCUGUACAAAGAAUGUCUGUUGUUUCCACCCAUAAUUAAGUAUUAUAGAAGUGGUUAAAGUACCUAAAGACUGUACUUUUUUUAGCCCAGUGACAGUACAGGGUUGUAGCAAAACAAUUCGCAGCGGAAAACGAAAACAAAAGUUUCUUAUUGAACAUGUUCUGGUGGUCCCUCUACAUUUUUUACAACCCUGGAUUGAUUGAACUGAAGUUAGACAUGUGACACUGAACAGAAGCACUAGAGGGAAUUCUCUCCUCACAUUCAAAUUCUGAUGCAAAGGGUGAGAAGAGAUAUGAGCUGAGUUUGAUUAACAUUGAGAAAAAUCGACAUCUGAAAGGUGAAUAACAUGAACACAACAUGAUGUAACUUUGAUAUGCUUUUUUAACAGGCCUGUAGUAAUGUGAAUGCAAUAAAGUUCAUUUACAGUUGGAUAUGUUAUUGUUGUUCUCUAACAAUGCAAUCCAUCUAAACUCUCCACUCACCAUAUUGUAUGUCUAACACAAUAAACCAUUGAGAUUCUAAUAGCAUAUAUAUAGCAUUUGAUUCAAUUAAGAAUUCUAAAUUAGACUGCAGUAAUACAUGAAGGUUUGGUUGACUGUGAGGGACUGUGAUGUCAGAUGUACCCUAUUUCCUGUUCUUUAUAAGUAGAUGUCAGACAGAGACAGACUGCAGUACACAGCCAGCUGUGGUAAUGGUGAUGUCACUGUUGAGGAGUUUUCUGUUGUUCUACUUCUCAUUCAACAAAUUGACCACAGCAGCAGAAGCCAUUCUCUGGGUGAAGACGGGGGAGAAGUUUACCAUGAAGUGCUCCACCACUCUAAAAGACCAGGAUGGAAUGUACCUGUAUGUUGGGCUGGACAGGGACAGGGAGGUGCUGUAUUACUACCAGCGUGACUCCAAACUGACCCCCAGGAGACGUUACUGGGACAGAGUGAAGACUGAGGGACCUGUGGACCAACUGACCAUCACCGUCAGUAACCUGACCAUAGAGGACACAGGUGUCUACUGGUGUGUUUACACAAAAUUCAAUAAAUCCACGUAUGAAAAUGACAUCAACCAAGGAAGAGGCUCCACUCUGGUCGUGGUGAAUGGUAGAGACGAUGCCCUCCAGCUGCCAUGCCCCACAGCUAUUGCAGUAACACUGACCCCCUUUCACCCAGCCAACGAGAAGCUGUGCGCAUCUGGCGUGGAAAACAUCAUCAUCAUCACCAGCAUCUUGACCACCCUGAUGUGUGCCGUCAUCUUCCUCGCCUGGGUCGCUCCACGGGUGAAGAGGUGCUGUAACCAGGGAGGAUACACACCCCAGGUCUUUCCUGACUCGGUCUAUGAAGACAUGGCCAGGAAUCCCAUUUAUCCACCAGACACACAGCAGGUACAAUCGUACCCCUAUUCUGUGUCUACCAAAGGAGGAAGUAGGACCACUGUGUAGCUUCUUCGAAUGCUUUCUCUGAAUAUUGCUUCUUUGCUUUCUCAGAAUUGAAAAACCUGUUCUGCUAUAUUUCACAGUUCUAGCCUCAAUGCAAGUCUUAGUGGUACAUGUUUUGUGUGUGUGCGUGUGUGUGUGUGUGUGUGUGUGUGCGUGCGUAUGUGUGUUGCGCCAUACCAUGCUUAUGUGUGUGAAUAAAAUCUCUAUAUGGACAGUAUUCAUAUUUCAACAGAAGAGUGAACAGCCAAUGUUAUAUUCCAGUUCUUCCACAUGCAAUGCACACACACCAAUAAAGCACUUUUCUUCUAAUGAAAUGCUGCUAAAAGUAGUUAUGGAAGAAGUGGAAAGUACUCGAUCAACGUGAGUUGAGGUGCAACCAAAAAAUGUGGUCAUCAUUGAAAAGGCUCAAUGCUUGCUCAUCAUUUUAACUAUUAAAAGAUUCUGUUAAGUCAUUAGGUGAUUUGAAAAUCAUCUGAAAAUGAAACAUCCCAAUAAAUAAGAGACAGCAACCAUAGUGCUUUACAUUUUGCCCCUGAACGUUGGAUUUUGGUGCAGAUCUUUUGUGAAUGUUCAGAAUUGAUCAAAGGGCCAGUCUAAAUUGCUAAACGGGACGGAUCUGGCACGUGGGCCGCCAGUUGAAUAUCCCUGUUUUAGUCCAUAAGGUGUACAGUUGAUAGCGAUGGAGGCCUCCCUAUAACUUUUUUCAAUACAUCAGGUCAUACGAUUUAUAUUGGUUUUAGUUCUAAACAAUGCUGUAGGCUGUGUUUUUCUCUAGUGUUUUUAGGUCACUGGACCACUCAUCAAGCUGUUCCUGUGCAUGUUGUCUUCCACAAAGCCAAAAGAACUUCAACGUUAAAAUGAGAACAGUUUGUUAAGACUUUUAUUAUAUUUUAUCAUAGGUACAAAUAUUUUAGCUCCUUAAACUUUCAGGCACAUCAGGAUAUAAGCCAUUUUACAUUACAUUUGAUUAUUCUAUGGUUUUAGUUGAGAUAGCUAGUAGGUUAAACCAUAAUGGUCUGAGUACAUUGUUUUCAUGCUGAUACAGAGUAAUGAGUGUGUCUUAUGGAUGGAAAAACAAUGAUUCAUUUUUACUAAGUGACGUAGUAUUUGUCUUACACUAGGAGUCCCUGUUUUUUUACUUAUGUUUCAACUUCCUAACAGCUAUUUUCACUUUAAAUAGCUGUAAAUGUGUAUUGUAUCUUUAUAAAGGAAGACAAAUAUUCUCACCGUUUGCCUUUUAAUCAAAAUUAUUGAUACAUAAUUGAUAGUUAUGUGAUAUUCAACUUGUGUAUUCAUGUUUAUGUUGUAUUUGUAUGUAUAAAGCAUUGGUGAUGUUCAGCUAUAUUGCUUACAGUAUUUUGUAUGUUUAGAAAGCUUUCUAAAUGAAGUCAGACAGGAAACUAGAGUGUUUGUAUCAGCUGAUAUUGAACCAAUUAGAUUCCCUCUACCGUAAUAUGGCAGUCUAUUUAGUUAACCAGGUAAUGCACAUCCUUUCAUUAUGUCUGCUGCACGCAAGCUAUCCAUUGGUGUUCUUGGUGACAUGCUAUGAUGUAACAUGCGGUACUCGCCCUGCAUGUCUGCUUUCCCACCACCCACCCCAGACUCCACCUGUUUGGGCACUGCUUUUGUUUCAGUCAGGGGGAUUGGUAUAGCAUACCUGGCUCACUGUUUGUUAUUAUGUUAUCAUUAUGCAUGCUCUGGCAGUGAGCUACCCCGAAGGAGCAGAGCCUUACGCCAAGAGUAACAUAUUGAAUGUAUUGUAAUCCUUUCUAAUAAAUGGUUAAACAAAUAUGUGACGUUUCAGUAACUUUUA